This 437-nucleotide ribosomal RNA is filed under the name uncultured bacterium. RNAcentral describes it as "bacterial SSU rRNA". It matches the Rfam family "Bacterial small subunit ribosomal RNA", at positions 956 to 1394 of the family's 1533-position model. The record is from RNAcentral.
UUAACGCGAAGAACCUUACCAAGGCUUGACAUGCACCGGAAACACUCAGAGAUGGGUGCCCCGUAAGGUCGGUGCACAGGUGGUGCAUGGUUGUCGUCAGCUCGUGUCGUGAGAUGUUGAGUUAAGUCCCGCAACGAGCGCAACCCUCGUCCUAUGUUGCCAGCGGGUUAUGCCGGGGACUCAUGGGAGACUGCCGGGGUCAACUCGGAGGAAGGUGGGGAUGACGUCAAAUCAUCAUGCCCCUUAUGUCUUGGGCUUCACGCAUGCUACAAUGGCCGGUACAGAGGGCUGCGAUACCGUAAGGUGGAGCGAAUCCCAAAAAGCCGGUCUCAGUUCGGAUUGGGGUCUGCAACUCGACCCCAUGAAGUCGGAGUCGCUAGUAAUCGCAGAUCAGCAACGCUGCGGUGAAUACGUUCCCGGGCCUUGUACACACCGAA